UGGGGAAUAUUGCACAAUGGGCGAAAGCCUGAUGCAGCGACGCCGCGUGCGGGAUGAAGGCCUUCGGGUUGUAAACCGCUUUAAUUGGGAGCAAGCGAGAGUGAGUGUACCUUUUGAAUAAGCACCGGCUAACUACGUGCCAGCAGCCGCGGUAAUACGUAGGGUGCAAGCGUUAUCCGGAAUUAUUGGGCGUAAAGAGCUCGUAGGCGGUUUGUCACGCCUGGUGUGAAAGUCCAUCGCUUAACGGUGGAUCUGCGCCGGGUACGGGCAGGCUAGAGUGCAGUAGGGGAGAUUGGAAUUCCCGGUGUAACGG
RNAcentral lists this ribosomal RNA (313 nucleotides) under uncultured bacterium. Its description in RNAcentral is "partial 16S ribosomal RNA". It matches the Rfam family "Bacterial small subunit ribosomal RNA", at positions 355 to 681 of the family's 1533-position model. The record is from RNAcentral.